RNAcentral lists this ribosomal RNA (497 nucleotides) under uncultured bacterium. RNAcentral describes it as "partial 16S ribosomal RNA". It matches the Rfam family "Bacterial small subunit ribosomal RNA", at positions 28 to 507 of the family's 1533-position model. The record is from RNAcentral.
GAUGAACGCUGGCGGCGUGCCUAAUACAUGCAAGUCGAGCGAACAGACGAGGAGCUUGCUCCUCUGACGUUAGCGGCGGACGGGUGAGUAACACGUGGAUAACCUACCUAUAAGACUGGGAUAACUUCGGGAAACCGGAGCUAAUACCGGAUAAUAUAUUGAACCGCAUGGUUCAAUAGUGAAAGACGGUUUUGCUGUCACUUAUAGAUGGAUCCGCGCCGCAUUAGCUAGUUGGUAAGGUAACGGCUUACCAAGGCAACGAUGCGUAGCCGACCUGAGAGGGUGAUCGGCCAAACUGGAACUGAGACACGGUCCAGACUCCUACGGGAGGGAGCAGUAGGGAAUCUUCCGCAAUGGGCGAAAGCUUGACGGAGCAAAGCCGCGUGGGUGAUGAAGGGCUUCGGAUCGUAAAACUCUGUUAUUAGGGAAGAACAAAUGUGUAAGUAACUAUGCACGUCUUGACGGUACCUAAUCAGAAAGCCACAGCUAACUACGUG